RNAcentral lists this transfer RNA (88 nucleotides) under Paracidovorax citrulli. Its description in RNAcentral is "tRNA-Leu". It matches the Rfam family "tRNA". Rfam says of the family: Transfer RNA (tRNA) molecules are approximately 80 nucleotides in length. Their secondary structure includes four short double-helical elements and three loops (D, anti-codon, and T loops). RNAcentral also lists the same sequence under 2 other names. The record is from RNAcentral. Lineage: Bacteria; Pseudomonadati; Pseudomonadota; Betaproteobacteria; Burkholderiales; Comamonadaceae.
GCGCGGGUGGCGAAAUUGGUAGACGCACCAGGUUUAGGUCCUGACGCCAGCAAUGGUGUGGGGGUUCGAGUCCCCCCCCCGCGCACCA